Molecule: ribosomal RNA, 2086 nt
Filed under: Staphylococcus aureus
Lineage: Bacteria; Bacillati; Bacillota; Bacilli; Caryophanales; Staphylococcaceae
Description: partial 23S ribosomal RNA
Rfam family: Bacterial large subunit ribosomal RNA
Source: RNAcentral
UCUAUACGGAGUUACAAAGGACGACAUUAGACGAAUCAUCUGGAAAGAUGAAUCAAAGAAGGUAAUAAUCCUGUAGUCGAAAAUGUUGUCUCUCUUGAGUGGAUCCUGAGUACGACGGAGCACGUGAAAUUCCGUCGGAAUCUGGGAGGACCAUCUCCUAAGGCUAAAUACUCUCUAGUGACCGAUAGUGAACCAGUACCGUGAGGGAAAGGUGAAAAGCACCCCGGAAGGGGAGUGAAAUAGAACCUGAAACCGUGUGCUUACAAGUAGUCAGAGCCCGUUAAUGGGUGAUGGCGUGCCUUUUGUAGAAUGAACCGGCGAGUUACGAUUUGAUGCAAGGUUAAGCAGUAAAUGUGGAGCCGUAGCGAAAGCGAGUCUGAAUAGGGCGUUUAGUAUUUGGUCGUAGACCCGAAACCAGGUGAUCUACCCUUGGUCAGGUUGAAGUUCAGGUAACACUGAAUGGAGGACCGAACCGACUUACGUUGAAAAGUGAGCGGAUGAACUGAGGGUAGCGGAGAAAUUCCAAUCGAACCUGGAGAUAGCUGGUUCUCUCCGAAAUAGCUUUAGGGCUAGCCUCAAGUGAUGAUUAUUGGAGGUAGAGCACUGUUUGGACGAGGGGCCCCUCUCGGGUUACCGAAUUCAGACAAACUCCGAAUGCCAAUUAAUUUAACUUGGGAGUCAGAACAUGGGUGAUAAGGUCCGUGUUCGAAAGGGAAACAGCCCAGACCACCAGCUAAGGUCCCAAAAUAUAUGUUAAGUGGAAAAGGAUGUGGCGUUGCCCAGACAACUAGGAUGUUGGCUUAGAAGCAGCCAUCAUUUAAAGAGUGCGUAAUAGCUCACUAGUCGAGUGACACUGCGCCGAAAAUGUACCGGGGCUAAACAUAUUACCGAAGCUGUGGAUUGUCCUUUGGACAAUGGUAGGAGAGCGUUCUAAGGGCGUUGAAGCAUGAUCGUAAGGACAUGUGGAGCGCUUAGAAGUGAGAAUGCCGGUGUGAGUAGCGAAAGACGGGUGAGAAUCCCGUCCACCGAUUGACUAAGGUUUCCAGAGGAAGGCUCGUCCGCUCUGGGUUAGUCGGGUCCUAAGCUGAGGCCGACAGGCGUAGGCGAUGGAUAACAGGUUGAUAUUCCUGUACCACCUAUAAUCGUUUUAAUCGAUGGGGGGACGCAGUAGGAUAGGCGAAGCGUGCGAUUGGAUUGCACGUCUAAGCAGUAAGGCUGAGUAUUAGGCAAAUCCGGUACUCGUUAAGGCUGAGCUGUGAUGGGGAGAAGACAUUGUGUCUUCGAGUCGUUGAUUUCACACUGCCGAGAAAAGCCUCUAGAUAGAAAAUAGGUGCCCGUACCGCAAACCGACACAGGUAGUCAAGAUGAGAAUUCUAAGGUGAGCGAGCGAACUCUCGUUAAGGAACUCGGCAAAAUGACCCCGUAACUUCGGGAGAAGGGGUGCUCUUUAGGGUUAACGCCCAGAAGAGCCGCAGUGAAUAGGCCCAAGCGACUGUUUAUCAAAAACACAGGUCUCUGCUAAACCGUAAGGUGAUGUAUAGGGGCUGACGCCUGCCCGGUGCUGGAAGGUUAAGAGGAGUGGUUAGCUUCUGCGAAGCUACGAAUCGAAGCCCCAGUAAACGGCGGCCGUAACUAUAACGGUCCUAAGGUAGCGAAAUUCCUUGUCGGGUAAGUUCCGACCCGCACGAAAGGCGUAACGAUUUGGGCACUGUCUCAACGAGAGACUCGGUGAAAUCAUAGUACCUGUGAAGAUGCAGGUUACCCGCGACAGGACGGAAAGACCCCGUGGAGCUUUACUGUAGCCUGAUAUUGAAAUUCGGCACAGCUUGUACAGGAUAGGUAGGAGCCUUUGAAACGUGAGCGCUAGCUUACGUGGAGGCGCUGGUGGGAUACUACCCUAGCUGUGUUGGCUUUCUAACCCGCACCACUUAUCGUGGUGGGAGACAGUGUCAGGCGGGCAGUUUGACUGGGGCGGUCGCCUCCUAAAAGGUAACGGAGGCGCUCAAAGGUUCCCUCAGAAUGGUUGGAAAUCAUUCAUAGAGUGUAAAGGCAUAAGGGAGCUUGACUGCGAGACCUACAAGUCGAG